This 1059-nucleotide ribosomal RNA is filed under the name Talaromyces rugulosus. RNAcentral's name for it is "SSU rRNA". It matches the Rfam family "Eukaryotic small subunit ribosomal RNA", at positions 53 to 1120 of the family's 1831-position model. The record is from RNAcentral. Lineage: Eukaryota; Fungi; Ascomycota; Eurotiomycetes; Eurotiales; Trichocomaceae.
GCAUGUCUAAGUAUAAGCACUUUGUACUGUGAAACUGCGAAUGGCUCAUUAAAUCAGUUAUCGUUUAUUUGAUAGUACCCUACUACAUGGAUACCUGUGGUAAUUCUAGAGCUAAUACAUGCGCAAAACCCCGACUUCGGAAGGGGUGUAUUUAUUAGAUAAAAAACCAAUGCCCUUCGGGGCUCCUUGGUGAUUCAUAAUAACUUAACGAAUCGCAUGGCCUUGCGCCGGCGAUGGUUCAUUCAAAUUUCUGCCCUAUCAACUUUCGAUGGUAGGAUAGUGGCCUACCAUGGUGGCAACGGGUAACGGGGAAUUAGGGUUCGAUUCCGGAGAGGGAGCCUGAGAAACGGCUACCACAUCCAAGGAAGGCAGCAGGCGCGCAAAUUACCCAAUCCCGAUCCGGGGAGGUAGUGACAAUAAAUACUGAUAUAGGGCUCUUUUGGGUCUUAUAAUUGGAAUGAGUACAAUCUAAAUCCCUUAACGAGGAACAAUUGGAGGGCAAGUCUGGUGCCAGCAGCCGCGGUAAUUCCAGCUCCAAUAGCGUAUAUUAAAGUUGUUGCAGUUAAAAAGCUCGUAGUUGAACCUUGGGCCCGUCCUGCCGGUCCGCCUCACCGCGAGUACUGGUCCGGAUGGGCCUUUCUUUCUGGGGAAUCCCAUGGCCUUCACUGGCUGUGGCGGGGAACCAGGACUUUUACUGUGAAAAAAUUAGAGUGUUCAAAGCAGGCCUUUGCUCGGAUACAUUAGCAUGGAAUAAUAAAAUAGGACGUGCGGUUCUAUUUUGUUGGUUUCUAGGACCGCCGUAAUGAUUAAUAGGGAUAGUCGGGGGCGUCAGUAUUCAGCUGUCAGAGGUGAAAUUCUUGGAUUUGCUGAAGACUAACUACUGCGAAAGCAUUCGCCAAGGAUGUUUUCAUUAAUCAGGGAACGAAAGUUAGGGGAUCGAAGACGAUCAGAUACCGUCGUAGUCUUAACCAUAAACUAUGCCGACUAGGGAUCGGGCGGUGUUUCUAUGAUGACCCGCUCGGCACCUUACGAGAAAUCAAAGUUUUUGGGUUNUGGGGG